GGGGAUGUAGCUCAGUGGCAGAGUACCUGCUUUGCAUGUAGGAGAUCCUGGGUUCAAUCCCCAGCAUCUCCA
Molecule: non-coding RNA, 72 nt
Organism: Gavia stellata (red-throated loon)
Lineage: Eukaryota; Metazoa; Chordata; Aves; Gaviiformes; Gaviidae
Source: Rfam